This 390-nucleotide ribosomal RNA is filed under the name Dociostaurus genei genei. RNAcentral's name for it is "12S ribosomal RNA". It matches the Rfam family "Microsporidia small subunit ribosomal RNA", at positions 752 to 1207 of the family's 1311-position model. The record is from RNAcentral. Lineage: Eukaryota; Metazoa; Arthropoda; Insecta; Orthoptera; Acrididae.
AUACCCUAUUAUAUUAAGUGUUAAUUUUGCUUACCUGGGUACUAUUAGUUAAGGUCUUUAAACCCAAAGAAUUUGGCGGUACCUUAUUCCAUUCAGAGGAACCUACCCCGUAAUUGAUAAUACACGAUUAACUUUACUUAAUUUAUUUGUUUGUAUAUCUCCGUUAUCAGAAAAUCUUAUUGGAGUUAUAAUUUUCUUGAUUUAUAAUUAUGAAAUAUUUCAGGUCAAGGUGCAGCUUAUAAUUAAGAGGAGGUGGGUUACAAUAGAUUUUUGUUUAUAACGGAUUUAAUAGUGAAAUACUAUUAAUGAAGGUGGAUUUGAUAGUAAUUUAAUUUAGUUAAUUUAAUUGAUAUUGGCUCUGAGGUGUGUACACAUCGCCCGUCGCUCUCA